GUCUGUGCUUGCACAGUGUCAAGUGUUGGUAGUUCUCAGGACAGGGGGCACAGAAAGAUACUCUGGGAAAUAAUUUUUAACCCCCUGCAAUUCACUGUUCAGAAAGGUACACCACUUUGGUGGCAGCCCUGAUGGAGGCAAUCUUUUCCUCAUACGCACAAUUCUCUUUGCAAGGUGGCUCUGAUAAAAUUUAAGUAUGAACUUUACUUGUUUCCAGGAGCUCUUGGAAGAACUAAAAACGUAUCACAGGGUCCAGCAUUAAAUCCUUCCCUGCUGGGAUGCAGCAGAGAACGGAAACUGUCAGGCAGUUUGAGAUCCACUUAACAGCAAUUAGUGCAGAUGAAAGAAGCACUAACGCGAAAGCCCCAGUCUCUGUGCCUUGGGUGGGAGGAGGAAAGGAAUGUGUAAGAGAAAAUGUAAACAUGAAAAAAUGUGGCUGUGUCUCCCACAAAACAAUGAAUCAUUUUAACAUUUCCAAUCCUUUUCAUGCAAGCAGAAACAGUCGAUCAAUAUGUGACAGAAUUAAAGACCUGCAGUAAAACCUUGGAGCUGAGGAUCUGUGAGAAUUGUGAAUACAGAGUAAUCUGCGGAAUUCUGCAUACAGCAUAAAAGAAAGGCAAAUGUAUGUACAAAAGCCGGACGGUGCAACCGCAGAAGUCUGCUGGGCAAGAGGACUCCUCUGCCCACCCAGAGGAGCACCCGUUGGAGGGGAGAAGCCAUCACUGGCAACGGAUAUGGAGCACCUACAGAAAGUAGGAGUAUUUCCCAGAAAAUUCCAGGUUACAACAAAUGUGGCCCUAAACCGCAUCCUUGUAAAAGCCAGCAACAUGGGAUUCAGAAUGUGCGUUCACAAAAGCUGCAGCUGUAGCCAUGGCUCUGGAGGACUUUCGGCCAGUAAGGGCAUCUCAUAGACUUUAUCCUGUGAAGUGGUGAAAACAGUCAAGAGAUGCUAUUCUAUGAUUCCAUGCCACAGCUGACUUCAAGACAAUGACAAUUUCAAGGUGGUGAACCGCGCAUCUAGCUGUAGGUCUUGGGAGCAAACAACUUGGAAUGAGCUCCUGUGGCACUGACAGAAGGGCAUUGUGUGAACACAUCCCACAGCAGGGUGUCAUCCUCCCCAGCUCACCUCGCAGUCACGCUGGCUGCCUGCCCGCUAGCAGAGCAAACACUUGCCAUUGGGCUUUCUUGAGGACCCAGUCUGGGACUGGACCAUCAAGGCAAAUGCUGAACGUCUGCUACAAAUAACUGUCCCAACCAUUAAUUUUUAUAGGCUGAGUGGCAGGAUUUCAUGCUGGGCACAACCAGCAGAGGAGAUGAAAGCUCGAAGCCAAAUAGACAUCACAGAGCCAGUACAAAUGCUAUUUAUUAAAGAAAUGCCUGGAUUGCAGAGGAAGCAGAAAGGUGCGUCUUGAAAGGAACCUUUAAUGCCUGUGAGUGAAAAGCAACAAGGGCUGGGAAGCAAGAGGAGCUGCCAGAGGCAACAGCUAAUGGACCUGGUCCUGGGGUGAGCUGGCAGCAGGGAGCACGUGGCUGGGAGCCAAAGGAGGCAAUGCCAUGGCCAAUCUGAGGUGUGUCCAGACCCCCUCCGUUCAAACUCUCCCAGCUGAGCCUGCAGGUGAUGUCAUGGUACGCAGAGUAUUUCUGCACAGACCACUGGCCCUGGCGUGUGCUGAGGAGCCUCUCCCAGGAUGGGCACCCUGGUGCCAGCACUCUUGUUAGCAAUUCAGACUGGUGGCCCGUGUCAUUGAGACAUGGCCAGUGAGCAAAGGCAUUCCCUCCCUUGAAGAGUCAGCUUCCGUGCAAGUUUCCCAUCUGCAUGCUCCCGUCUUGUCCUGGAAGGAAAAGGACUGGAAAGAAGGCCAGCCAGUGUCUUUGCAUCUGUCCUUACCCUUGUGUUGAAACUUGACUGCCAACAACUUGUCACAAAGAUGUUUUCUACAGCGACGUACUUCAUGCUGGGCUCUUCCAGCGUAGCACUGGUCACACUGUGGGAACGCUCCGGCUGGUUCAUUCUGCUGCUCAGCUGAGGAAGACGCGUUCUCCUGCUAGUGUCCAAGGACAGGCUCCCAAGGGAAGGGAGUUGCACCGCAAUCAUGCAGCUGGUGCAUCUGCGGCAGUCUUUGGGGCCGCCGCAGAGCCUUCCCCUAGCCCUCCCCUCCAUGGGCUCAGCCAGGAGCGGCCAGGGCCAGCCAUCUGCGUGCAGGACACUGGGGAAGGGGUCUGGCAGUUCACUGCUGUCCUCUCCAUGGGACUCCUGGGGGCUGAUGUGGUCACAAAACACCCUGUCCCCAAGCAGUGGUUCAGCGCUCAG
Molecule: long non-coding RNA, 2311 nt
Organism: Chroicocephalus ridibundus (black-headed gull)
Lineage: Eukaryota; Metazoa; Chordata; Aves; Charadriiformes; Laridae
Exons: 3
Source: RefSeq, a predicted model, not a curated record